UACGUAGGGUGCAAGCGUUAAUCGGAAUUACUGGGCGUAAAGCGUGCGCAGGCGGUUGUGCAAGACAGAUGUGAAAUCCCCCGGGCUUAACCUGGGAAUUGCAUUUGUGACUGCACGGCUAGAGUGUGUCAGAGGGGGGUAGAAUUCCACGUGUAGCAGUGAAAUGCGUAGAGAUGUGGAGGAAUACCGAUGGCGAAGGCAGGCCUCCUGGGCCAACACUGACGCUCAUGCACGAAAGCGUGGGGAGCAAACAGG
RNAcentral lists this ribosomal RNA (255 nucleotides) under uncultured bacterium. Its description in RNAcentral is "partial 16S ribosomal RNA". It matches the Rfam family "Bacterial small subunit ribosomal RNA", at positions 524 to 776 of the family's 1533-position model. The record is from RNAcentral.